This 809-nucleotide ribosomal RNA is filed under the name Caulobacter vibrioides. Its description in RNAcentral is "partial 16S rRNA 5'end". The stretch from base 737 to 809 matches the Rfam family "Bacterial small subunit ribosomal RNA", at positions 1 to 73 of the family's 1533-position model. The record is from RNAcentral. Lineage: Bacteria; Pseudomonadati; Pseudomonadota; Alphaproteobacteria; Caulobacterales; Caulobacteraceae.
GCCUCGCUCGGAACGGCAUCGCGACCGGACGACGCGGCCCCCGAAAGGGAGUUGCAUCGGUCCAGACGCUUCGCUAGAAACCGCGCUCCAAUCGACUCAAUGAUGGAUCCGCAAGGGCGGCUUCGGCGGCCCCGGGAUCCUCUUUUUGUCUCUUCGAUCCUGGGUCUCCCGGUUGUCGAAAAAGUCGAAAAGAGUUGGUUGACUUCGGAAUGUCGCCUCAUUAGAAGCGCCGCUCCGAACAUCGCCGCCAAGACUUCGCAAGAAUUCAGCGGCGCGAUGUAAGGUCUAGUUACUCGAUGCUUUGAAGUUUCUUCAAAAUAAUCGGUUGACUGGAUUGGCCGACUUCUCUAGAAGCUGGCCGCUCUGGCGGGCCCCGGUUUUCGGGUUUCGCCGCUCCGGUUCGAAAAGUUUUGAAAAAAACGAUUUGACACGGAAUUCGGGGUUGGAUAGAUAGCCGCCUCCGCCGACAUCGGGCGCUAAACGAUGGGGCCGCUGAGGCGGUUCGGGUCUUUGACAUUGUUGAAUUGGAAAGAGAAACGCAGGCGGCGGCGCUCUGGCGAUGACCUUCGGGUCAUCAACUGACGCUGACGAAUGCGGUCUCUUGAAGAAGACACCAUUACGCCGGUCUGGCCUUCGGGUUGGAUCGAGUGAUGGGAACUCGUCAAGAAACUAUGCAAACCAGAUACCUGGUUCUGGGUUUUCCCCUGGAACUGGAAGUCUGAAGUCAAUGUCAACUCAACCUGAGAGUUUGAUCCUGGCUCAGAGCGAACGCUGGCGGCAGGCCUAACACAUGCAAGUCGAACGGAUCC